GUGCUCACUUUGGCAGCAUAUGUACUAAAAUUGGAAUGAUACAGAGAUUAGCAUGGCCCCUGUGCAAGGAUGACAUGAAAAUUUGUGAAGAAUUGCAUAUUAAA
RNAcentral lists this small nuclear RNA (104 nucleotides) under Chinchilla lanigera (long-tailed chinchilla). Lineage: Eukaryota; Metazoa; Chordata; Mammalia; Rodentia; Chinchillidae. The record is from RNAcentral.